Long non-coding RNA from Daphnia pulex (common water flea), 622 nucleotides. RefSeq lists it as uncharacterized. The transcript is spliced from 2 exons. The record is from RefSeq and is a predicted model, not a curated record. NCBI's taxonomy places the organism in Eukaryota, Metazoa, Arthropoda, Branchiopoda, Diplostraca, Daphniidae.
CGCAGAUUCGCAGUCGCAGAGUCACAAGAAAGUAGAAUGUAGAAGUCUAGAAGUAGUUUUUUCUAAUGAACUUGUUAGUUAAAAUUUGUUAAGUUAAACAGAACACAGGUAACUAAAGCAGAACUAGAGUCACGGAACCCAAUGACCCUACGAAUUAAAGUCAACAAAAAACACAAGCCGUCUGUACAGUUGGAUUCCCUUAGUUCGUUGAUCCGAAUAUGCAUUCGGAGCAGCAAAUUUGACGUAGAACGCACCUGGCGUUAUGCAAUUAUGGAUACAAAUCACAUUUCGUUCUCUUGUUUAUUGCUAUUUUAGUCUUACAAGGGUUGCCCACCUUUCUGGCAGCACUUGACAGAUAUGAUCAAGCAUUGAAUUGGUAUUCAAAUAACGCACGAAGCGAACACCGAUAUGAUCGCCCAGGGGGUGCUUCCAUGUGUGCCUUGUUGAUCAUUUCCUCAAACAAGAAAAAAAAAUGUUAAUGAAGAAGAAAGGAGAGAAGGAACGUGGCUAUGGCAUCGAUAUGGUUCGUGUAAUCUACCCGGGGCAGUGGUCGGGUUGAAAGCAAAAGUUGGUGCUGGUGGUGAGGAUACGGAGGGAGAAGCUCACCAGCAGCUUGGAACGG